Molecule: transfer RNA, 71 nt
Filed under: Marmota monax (woodchuck)
Lineage: Eukaryota; Metazoa; Chordata; Mammalia; Rodentia; Sciuridae
Description: tRNA.Ala
Rfam family: tRNA
About the family: Transfer RNA (tRNA) molecules are approximately 80 nucleotides in length. Their secondary structure includes four short double-helical elements and three loops (D, anti-codon, and T loops).
Source: RNAcentral
GGGGUUGUGGCUCAGUGGUAGAGCACUCACCUAGCAUGUGCAAGGACCUGGGUUCAAUCCUCAGCACCACA